CAGAAGUUUCUCUGAAGAAACUAGUCAGAUUCCCUUUGAAAAUAAGUGGCUUUGAGAAAAAUUUCCCUCACCACUCUAGGGAAUGUUUGUGGGGUUUUUUGUUUUUUGUUUUUUGUUUUUAAUUCCCUGGACACUGUCUUUCCUGUAUUAUUUUCAGUCUCAUCCUUCCAUCUACUAUUAGUGUCAGUAUGAUACUACCAGUAUUUUUGAGGGAAAAUAUGUAGGAUUCCUCCAUUCACAUUACAGCUAUAGGACACACACCUUAUCUUGCAUCUCCUUCUGAUUCACCUAAGUGCCAACUGAAUCAUUGGCCACAUAUUUACAACAUUUCCAAUUAUUGCAAUUUACAACUUGAACCCAAGAAUUACAGAUCUUAGAGCUGGGAAGACCGCAAGAGUUGGGGGCAUUUAGACACAGUGAGGACUUACGUAUCAUACUACAGAAGAGGCAGCCAGGAUUUUGAAAAGUUUAAAAAAAAAAAACUUGUCAAAGGCUAUCUUGCUAAUAAGUAGCAAAGUUGGUAAUAAAGAAGAACAUUUUACACGGGUUCCCCUCCAGCACAAUUCCUGUCACAUUAUGGGUGCACAAUAAUAUUUACUUAUUUCAUGAGUAAAAAAGUCAAUAAAUGAAUAAAUAAAUUACUAUCUCCAAACCCACUCGUCUUUGUUUUUGUUCCAAUCCUCUCUGAUCUCUACGGUUUUCAGUUCCAGAAUCUCCCCUUGGGUAGCACUACACGGCCUCCCUCCUCUACUUCUCUGCCUGUGUUUCUAGAUUUCCUCUUCUUCCUCUGUCCACCUAAAUACAGGUGUUUUCAAGCUGUUAUCUUAAUCCUGUUUCCUAAACCCAUGUUCUCAUUACUU
RNAcentral lists this long non-coding RNA (860 nucleotides) under Homo sapiens (human). RNAcentral describes it as "HSALNT0057492". Lineage: Eukaryota; Metazoa; Chordata; Mammalia; Primates; Hominidae. The record is from RNAcentral.